Molecule: ribosomal RNA, 349 nt
Filed under: uncultured bacterium
Lineage: Bacteria
Description: partial 16S ribosomal RNA
Rfam family: Bacterial small subunit ribosomal RNA
Source: RNAcentral
CCUACGGGAGGCAGCAGUAGGGAAUGUUGCGCAAUGGGGGAAACCCUGACGCAGCAACGCCGCGUGAGAGAUGAAGACCUUCGGGGUGUAAAGAGCUGUCAGUGGGGACGAAACCUGACGGUACCCACAGAGGAAGCACCGGCUAACUCCGUGCCAGCAGCCGCGGUAAUACGGGGGGUGCAAGCGUUGUCCGGAAUCAUGGGGCGUAAAGAGUUCGGAGGUGGCACGUUAAGUCUGGUGUUAAAGGCGGAAGCUCAACUUCCGUAGGGCACUGGAUACUGGCGAGCUUGACUGCGGGAGAGGUCACGGUCAUUCCUGUUGUAGCGGUCUAAUGCGUAGAUAUCCGGAG